Molecule: long non-coding RNA, 2631 nt
Filed under: Sus scrofa (pig)
Lineage: Eukaryota; Metazoa; Chordata; Mammalia; Artiodactyla; Suidae
Description: lncRNA (ENSSSCG00050054961.1)
Source: RNAcentral
CACCUGCACAGGCUCCGCCUGGCACGGCGCGUGGCACCCGCGGGCCGCAAGGAUGCUGGAGAGAGGACGAGCCGUGAGUGCGGGGAAGGGGUCCCGGAGCCUGGCCCCGCGGAAGUGAGUCUUUGUGCGCCCCGCUCUGACACACCCUCCCGCGGCGCUGAAGGCCGGGCUACCUGCGCGCCAGGCAGUGCCCGGGAGCCGGCCGGGUGGGGCGCCGGGGAGUGCAGCAUCCUCUCGGGCCGCUCGCUCCCUUUGUUCCGCCCGCUCGGCCAGGCUCCGCGCCACCGCCCGGCCCUUGCUCCCGGGAGCCGGAGGUGGACUGGGAGCGAGCCACCUGCCACUGGAAAUUCCGUCGGUCGGGUUCUCCCCACCGAACGCGACUGGCUCCCAGAGGACCAGCAAAGUUCACGGAACGACGGCACCCGGACUGCUGGCCUGGCGCGAGGAGAACCGGGCGCGGGAGCCGCGGGUGUGGCUGCGGAUAGGGUGUCCGUCUGCUCGCGUGCGGGAUGUCCAUUUGUUGCCUCCAACCUCUGGUUCUUGAGAAGUGGCCGCAGCUGGUCCCGGACCGAGACCGCGCCGCCCUUUGUUUGCUGUCACCUUCCAGAACCCGAGUACACGUCACAAGCUCCCAGGCAUCCACAGGGGCACUGCACUUCACAGUUGAUGGAAAUGCUUCUCCUCCCUCAUCUCUGAGGAAAUGAAGGUCUGAUGGGAUUGAAAGCCAUCUACAGGUGGCCUUGCCACUUCUAAAUGAAAAAGGCGAAAAGUGGGAAGUUGCAUUCAGCGUGUGUUUUGCACGAAUGGUUGUAGAGGCAGCAAGAUGGGCCCGGCCAACUUCUUUCCUGGAACCACUCAGCAUCUCAGCAUCUCCACAUCUCAGCACCUCCGAAUCUCAGCAUCCAGCUCGAGCUGUGAACCACAUCUGUGGUGCAUCUGUGCUUUAUCUGGUUUAUUUCAUGGACCUAAGGUGACAAAACUAAUUACACUCAACACAUGUUCAUUCCGGGACCUGCUCUAGGUGCUAGGAAACAUCAGAGAGGACGUCACACAUACAGAUCCAUGGGGCUCAAACUGUGUGAGGUGACGUGGACCCCAUGGAAACUCACUGAGAGGCUGCAGGAAGGUUUAACUUUUCAAGGGAAGCACAGUGAUGCUUGGCCCUUGUGGGAUAACAUGGUUUGACGGUCUCUCCAUUAGACUGUGCAGCACUUACUGAAGAUGUCAUCUCUCUAUGAAAUUGCAUUUCUGGAAGUUGUUGGGAUUAAAACGACUCCAGUUUUGUUCAGGAAAUCGAGACGUCUCAUGCUUCCAGAGCUCUUCUCCAACCCCAAAGAUUGGCCAAUCCAGAGGUUCUUAACUUGAGUGGCCCAGCGCAGUGCCUCAGGGGACUUUUAAACAUCAGGAUGCGGAGAACAUGUUGGACCAGGGAAAUCAGUCACUGGGGAUGAGACUCAGCCAGCAUCAGUAUUUUGUAAAGCUCCCCAGGCUUAUGACAUGCCUGAAGCUUUACUAGCUUCUCUGCUUCCCAGCAGCUACCCACCGACCAGCUCCUCACACUCUUGCUAUGAGCCAUGAAUCAAAACUUAUUUUGAGGAGAAAAGCAACCCAGAAAGUCCCUGGAAUUCAACGCUUAAAAAUACUUGGUUUCUUUGAUUGGAAAACGGUAUUUGGAAAACGAAAUCAGACUAUGAGUUGUCUUCUGGAAGGAAAGGGAGCCUGUCCAUCCUUGUCCCCCCCCAACCCCCCAUUAGGAACAUCCUCUCCCCUCAAGUGUCUUGCAUCCACUGGUGAUGUGUGCUGGACCACCGAAGCCUGCCUCCUGGCCACCCUCUGCCAGGCUCCUGGACUGGAGGCUAUGGACUGAGGACCCUCAGGGGCCUCAGCCCUGCAGAAGGAGUCUGUUGGAAGAAAGAGAAAUGCAGAGAAGGCAGAUCCUGGCCAGGGUGGCUUCUGAAAUGGGGCAGAGAGGUCUCAGGGUUUUCCCAUCUGAGUGGCCGUCUUCCUUCCUGGGUUCUGUAGGUUGCAUCUGUCACUUCUGUCCUUCGAAUUCUCUAUCAGCACCGCCAGCCCCAGGUCUUGGAGGGAAGUGCACAUUUUCUGCCUUUUCAGUGUCCUCCAGCAUUUCAACAGGGAAAAGGGAGAGGCGACGUGAGGGUUACUUCUCAGAAGCCAUUGCCAACGUGGUGCCACAGCUCAGCUUUGAAACAGAAAAGCCUUUCUGACCCGAACCGCACCGGACCAUUCCUCUUUUAUUUUGCAGCGACUGGUAAGAAUUUCUGCUCUCUAGGUCUCUAUUGAAAGGGAUGGUGGAUGCGUACAUUGUCAUCCUGAUCCGAGACUAGCCUCCUAACCAUGUGAGAGCACCAAGCGUCAGCACACAGAAUCUGUUUCAGGGGGUCUGGGGACAGAGAUAACCACACGUGCCCGCUCUGAUUUCCUUCCAACAGAUUCCUCCCUAGGCCUUAACCCCAUAAUCGGUCUGCCUCCAAACCUGCUGAAGGUGACGGCCUUGUCCUCAAAGGAGUCAUACUUUUGUUGAGAUGUUGCGGGGGGAGGAGGGGAGGAGAGAGACAGACAUUGGACCGUGAGGCAGUGGUUAACCUGCUGUAAUAAAAGCAUGAACAAAGU